CGCGGAUGUCCAGAUUGUUUUAAGAAAAUAAUUGAUGCGGAAUAUACUUUUUGGUGCGCAAAGUGUGACAGAGAGGUAUUUGCAGAAAAUAGCUACAGGAUAACUAUGGAAGUUCAAGAUGAAUCUGC
This is a long non-coding RNA of Asparagus officinalis (garden asparagus), 128 nucleotides long. RefSeq lists it as uncharacterized. The record is from RefSeq and is a predicted model, not a curated record. NCBI's taxonomy places the organism in Eukaryota, Viridiplantae, Streptophyta, Magnoliopsida, Asparagales, Asparagaceae. The transcript is spliced from 2 exons.